RNAcentral lists this long non-coding RNA (240 nucleotides) under Gossypium raimondii (Peruvian cotton). Its description in RNAcentral is "long non-coding RNA (GRAI_LNC008208)". The record is from RNAcentral. Lineage: Eukaryota; Viridiplantae; Streptophyta; Magnoliopsida; Malvales; Malvaceae.
UGAGUGUAGUUCAAGAAUAGUGCAUUUUACAUAAGACACCCUUAAAUACUAAGUCUUUUCUAGCCAAAACUUCUCUUAGACAUGCACUUUUACAUAACUAUACUUUUAUCCAGUAACCAAGGAGUCACAUAUAAUUUCGAAUAGUGAAAAUUUCUAUUAUGAUGUGGAAGAUCAGACAAUGUUGUAACCAUAGAUCAUACAAAGAAAAUUAACACUCCUUCACUGAGGCUUUGAUAUCAA